UCCCUAGUACGGCGAGUGAGCGGGAAAAGCUCAAAUUUAAAAUCUGGCAAUCUUUGGUUGUCCGAAUUGUAAUCUAGAGAAGCGUUUUCCGUGCUGGACUGUGUGCAAGUUUCCUGGAUACGGAACAUCAUAGAGGGUGAGAAUCCCGUCCUUCACACAGACUGCCAGUGCUUUGUGAUGCGCUCUCGACGAGUCGAGUUGUUUGGGAUUGCAGCUCAAAAUGGGAGGUAAAUUCCUUCUAAAGCUAAAUAUUGGCGAGAGACCGAUAGCGAACAAGUACCGUGAGGGAAAGAUGAAAAGCACUUUGGAAAGAGAGUUAAACAGUACGUGAAAUUGUUAAAAGGGAAACGCUUGAAGUCAGUCAUGUUUGCUUGGACUCAACCUAACCUCGGUUUGGUGCAUUUCCUUGCAGACGGGCCAGCGUUCAUGUUGUUUGCCAGAGAAGGAGCGAGAGAAUGUGACUCCUUUGGGAGUGUUAUAGCUCUCACUCGCAUGUGGGGAACAAUAUGGAGUGGUACAGCACGCUUUGUCGGUGCUUGUGCUGGCAUAAUGGCUUUAAACGACCCGUCU
RNAcentral lists this ribosomal RNA (570 nucleotides) under Clavulina amazonensis. RNAcentral describes it as "eukaryotic LSU rRNA". It matches the Rfam family "Eukaryotic large subunit ribosomal RNA", at positions 77 to 654 of the family's 3401-position model. Lineage: Eukaryota; Fungi; Basidiomycota; Agaricomycetes; Cantharellales; Hydnaceae. The record is from RNAcentral.